Salinivirga cyanobacteriivorans is the source of this 170-nucleotide non-coding RNA. The record is from Rfam. Lineage: Bacteria; Pseudomonadati; Bacteroidota; Bacteroidia; Bacteroidales; Salinivirgaceae.
UUCAGAGCGAUCUGAGCACUGAAGGAAGCGAAACUGCAAAGACCUGUACUGACGCACAGGAAGUGCAUACAGAGGCAGGAAAAGGAGGGUUAGCAAUCACAGCUUUGCAAAGCCUGAAAUCAGCAUUCUUUUCCUGUAGAUGCAACAGGAAUAGGUCGAAGGACGAUGUU